RNAcentral lists this ribosomal RNA (245 nucleotides) under Sebacina sp. RNAcentral's name for it is "partial 28S ribosomal RNA". It matches the Rfam family "Eukaryotic large subunit ribosomal RNA", at positions 104 to 344 of the family's 3401-position model. Lineage: Eukaryota; Fungi; Basidiomycota; Agaricomycetes; Sebacinales; Sebacinaceae. The record is from RNAcentral.
AAAGCUCAAAUUUUGAAUCUGGUGUCUUUGGCGCCCGAGUUGUAAUCUAGAGAAGUGUUUUCCGCUUUGGACCGUGUACAAGUUCCCUGGAACGGGGCGUCAUAGAGGGUGAGAAUCCCGUAUAUGGCACGGACUACCAAUGCUCUGUGAUACACUCUCAACGAGUCGAGUUGUUUGGGAAUGCAGCUCAAAAUGGGUGGUAAAUUCCAUCUAAAGCUAAAUAUUGGCGAGAGACCGAUAGCGAA